This 253-nucleotide unclassified non-coding RNA is filed under the name Hevea brasiliensis (rubber tree). Lineage: Eukaryota; Viridiplantae; Streptophyta; Magnoliopsida; Malpighiales; Euphorbiaceae. The record is from RNAcentral.
CGUCAAUGGAGGAUUAACACACGUAAGCAAUCGUGGCAGCGCAUGUUCGACAUUUGGCACGUGAGAGCGUGUUAAAUGUCUAUACUAGGAUUUUGUUAAUUGUUAGGACUCCGUAUGCUUGCCGUUAGGCUGGCGAUGGGACCAAUGUGGCUGCAUUUGUUUGUUAGUAAACUUCUCUAAUUCUCUUUCGUUUUGUUCCAAGCUCACGGUCGGUCACGCCGUUAGUGGUCCCCCCAUUGGCGAUACAGUGGUG